GAUGACAGGCUUGUGGCGGCCAAGCAUUCAUAGCGACGUCGCUUUUUGAUCCUUUGAUGUCGGCUCUUCCCAUCAUUGUGAAGCAGAAUUCACCAAGCGUUGGAUUGUUCACCCAUCAAUAGGGAACGUGAGCUGGGAUUAGACCGUCAUGAGACAGUUU
Oryzias latipes (Japanese medaka) is the source of this 160-nucleotide non-coding RNA. The record is from Rfam. Lineage: Eukaryota; Metazoa; Chordata; Actinopteri; Beloniformes; Adrianichthyidae.